CAGGGGUAAACCUGAGAAACCCGAAAGAUCGAAUGGGGAGAUUCAUCGUCAGCGAUUCUGGUACGUGUGCGGUUCGCGAUGUCGGAGACUUCGGUCUCACGGCACGCGUCCGCAUGUUUUUUAUUGCCGGAGUCGUCGGCGUGCACUUCUCCCCUAGUAGGACGUCGCGACCCGUUGGGUGUCGGUCUACGGCACGGUAGGGCAGCCUGUCUCGUGUGGCGCUUCACGGCGUUCACCGCGGGGCAGACCUCCGUCCGCCCGACCGACUGCUCGGCGGUACUCGCAUGAUAUCUAGUCGCAGCCAUUCGAACUGCGUCCGGCCCGUCGCAAGCGAGGCAAGUGUCCCGGCUGUACGGAUCUGAUGCCGUCAUCGGGCCUUGCCAGCUGUUGGCUGACGGUGUCCUAGGACAGGCUAACAAAAUUAUGAUAUCGGUCAGCGACGCUACUGCUUUGGGUACUUUCAGGACCCGUCUUGAAACACGGACCAAGGAGUCUAACAUGUGCGCGAGUCAUUGGGACUUGUAAGCCUAAAGGCGCAAUGAAAGUAAAGGUCGGCCUCGCGCCGACCGAGGGAGGAUGGGCCGCGUCACGAUGCGGUCUCGCACUCCCGGGGCGUCUCGUUCUCAUUGCGAGAAGAGGCGCACCCAGAGCGUACACGUUGGGACCCGAAAGAUGGUGAACUAUGCCUGGUCAGGACGAAGUCAGGGGAAACCCUGAUGGAGGUCCGUAGCGAUUCUGACGUGCAAAUCGAUCGUCGGAACUGGGUAUAGGGGCGAAAGACUAAUCG
This 787-nucleotide ribosomal RNA is filed under the name Phaeogenes sp. 1 BFS-2018. Its description in RNAcentral is "partial 28S large subunit ribosomal RNA". It matches the Rfam family "Eukaryotic large subunit ribosomal RNA", at positions 386 to 937 of the family's 3401-position model. Lineage: Eukaryota; Metazoa; Arthropoda; Insecta; Hymenoptera; Ichneumonidae. The record is from RNAcentral.